Molecule: ribosomal RNA, 2838 nt
Filed under: Triticum aestivum (bread wheat)
Lineage: Eukaryota; Viridiplantae; Streptophyta; Magnoliopsida; Poales; Poaceae
Description: partial small subunit ribosomal RNA
Source: RNAcentral
AUGGCGGCGGGCAAGCAGGAGAAGAGCUACUUCGACGUGCUGGGCAUCUGCUGCCCGUCCGAGGUGCCGCUGGUGGAGAAGCUGCUCGAGCCGCUCGCCGGCGUGCACAAGGUCACCGUCGUCGUGCCGUCCCGGACGGUGAUCGUCGUGCACGACGCCGCCACCAUCUCCCAGUCCCAGAUAGUCAAGGCGCUGAACCAGGCAAGGCUAGAGGCGUCGGUGCGGGCAUACGGCGGCGCAGGCCAGAACAAGAUCAACAAAUGGCCGAGCCCCUACGUGCUCCUCUGCGGGGUCCUUCUGGUCGCCUCGCUCUUCCAGCACUUCUGGCACCCGCUGAGGUGGCUCGCGCUCGUCGCCACGGCCGCCGGCCUGCCGCCCAUCGUCCUCAGAAGCGUCGCCGCCGCGCGGAGGCUCACCCUCGACGUCAAUAUUCUCAUGCUCAUCGCAGUUGGUGGGGCAGUUGCACUCAAGGACUACUCCGAGGCCGGCUUCAUCGUCUUCCUCUUCACCACGGCGGAGUGGCUCGAGACAAGGGCGAGCUGCAAGGCCACUGCCGGGAUGUCGUCGCUGAUGAGCAUGGCACCACAGAACGCUGUGCUGGCAGAGACGGGGCAGGUGGUCGCAGCGCAGGACGUGAAGGUCAACACGGUGAUAGCCGUGAAGGCGGGGGAGGUCGUUCCGAUAGACGGCGUCGUCGUCGACGGGCGGAGCGAGGUCGACGAGCAGACCCUCACCGGAGAGUCCUUCCCGGUGGCCAAACAGACGGACUCGGAGGUCUGGGCCGGCACCCUCAACAUAGACGGCUACAUUUCGGUGAGGACAACAGCCAUGGCCGACAACUCGGCGGUGGCCAAGAUGGCGAGGCUGGUUGAGGAAGCACAGAACAGCAGAUCCGAGACGCAGAGGCUCAUCGACACCUGCGCUAAGUAUUACACUCCUGCGGUGAUCGUCAUGGCAGCGGCGGUGGCGGCGACGCCCGUGAUCGUGAGAGCACACAACCUGAGGCACUGGUUUCAGCUGGCCCUGGUCCUCCUGGUGAGCGCCUGCCCGUGCGCUCUGGUUCUCUCCACGCCGGUCGCCACCUUCUGCGCGCUGCUCAAGGCCGCGAGAACCGGGCUGCUCAUCAAGGGAGGGGAUGUGCUCGAGUCCUUGGCCGGGAUCAAAGUCGCGGCUUUCGACAAAACUGGCACGAUUAGCAGCGGAGAGUUCUCUGUGGCGGAGUUCCGGGCAAUCGGAGAACGUGUUCCGAGGCACCAACUUCUCAACUGGGUGUCGAGCGUGGAGAGCAGGUCGAGCCACCCAAUGGCAGCUGCCCUUGUUGAUUAUGCUCGAUCAAACUCCGUGGAACCAAACUCGGAGAAUGUCAUGGAAUUUCAGAUUUACCCUGGUGAGGGGAUUUACGGUGAAAUCGACGGACAAGGCGUGUACAUUGGGAACAGAAGAAUCUUGUCGAGGGCUUCAUGUGAAACAGUUCCAGAAGUAAAUGACAUCAAAGGGGUCACCGUUGGAUACGUGGCCUGCAACAAGGAGUUGGUCGGGCUAUUCGGUCUCUCGGACGUCUGUCGAACUGGAUCGGCCGAAGCCAUCAGGGAGCUGAGAUCAAUGGGCAUCAAGUCGGUGAUGCUCACAGGUGAUAGUGCUGCCGCUGCCACCUAUGCCCAGAACCAGCUGGGAAAUGUUCUAGCUGAGGUUCACUCUGAACUUUUGCCGGAGGACAAGGUGCGGAUCGUCGACGAGCUCAAGGCGAGGGACGGCUCCACGCUGAUGAUCGGCGACGGCAUGAACGACGCCCCGGCGCUGGCCAGGGCCGACGUCGGCGUCUCCAUGGGCGUGUCCGGCUCGGCCGUCGCCAUGGAGACGAGCCACGUCACGCUCAUGUCCAACGACGUCCGCAGGAUCCCCAAGGCCAUCCGGCUGGCGAGGAGGACGCGCCGGACCAUCGUCACCAACAUCGUCUUCUCGGUCGCCACGAAGCUCGCCAUCGUCGGGCUCGCGCUCGCCGGGCACCCGCUCGUCUGGGCGGCCGUGCUGGCGGACGUCGGCACGUGCUUGCUGGUGAUCAUGUACAGCAUGAUGUUGCUGAGGGGGGGAGACGGCGGGAGGGGCAAGAAAUGCUGCGCUUCUUCUCACCAUGGAUCUCACUCUCACCCCAAGAAGCAUGGCCAUUGCUCGGACGGUCCGUGCAAUUUGACUGGCGGCUGCGCGGAUUCAUCUGCUGGUGGCCAUGCUUGCGGCGAUGAUCAUCAUCACCACGGGCAUGGUGACGGCAAAGAGCCGGGCAUCCCGCAUCUCCCACACAAGCAUGGAUGUGAAGAUCAUCAUGGCCAUGGCCACAGCCACUGCAAAGAACCGAGCAAGCUGCACCCCACGGACAGCCAUCACUGUCGAGAUCAUGGCCAGGGCCACCACCACGGCAAAGAGGCGAGCAGCCAAUUGGUGACAAGCAAGAACAUUUCCCAUGGCCAUGGCCAGUGCAAAGAGAAGCACGAUGAGCACCACACCAACUCAGCCGAGGCAGUCCAAGAGCACUCCAUACUGAUCGACGCGUCAGCUGCUGACCAACAACAAAUCCAGUGCAGUCACCAGAGCGGAGAACACGAGGAGGAAAGCUGCGGGCAUCACGCCAAGGCGAAAGCCUGCGCCCCAGCUCCGGCCGACUGCUGCGACACGGUACGCGACGAGGGAUGCGGAACCAAAGCGGGGGGCGUGUGCUCGAGCCGGCGGGCUGGUGGCGCUGCCGGAGAAACCAGGCGAUGUUGCCGGAGCACCAGGGCGAGCAGGUGCGGCGGCGGCGGCCACGCAAGCAUGCUGAAGCUGCCUGAGAUCGUGGUGGAGUAG